UACGUAGGGACCAAGCGUUGUUCGGAUUUACUGGGCGUAAAGGGCUCGUAGGCGGCGCGGUAAAUCACUUGUGAAAUCUCUGAGCUUAACUCAGAACGGCCAAGUGAUACUGCAGUGCUAGAGUGUGGAAGGGGCAAUCGGAAUUCUUGGUGUAGCGGUGAAAUGCGUAGAUAUCAAGAGGAACACCUGAGGUGAAGACGGGUUGCUGGGCUGACACUGACGCUGAGGCGCGAAAGCUAGGGUAGCAAACGGG
RNAcentral lists this ribosomal RNA (253 nucleotides) under uncultured bacterium. RNAcentral describes it as "partial 16S ribosomal RNA". It matches the Rfam family "Bacterial small subunit ribosomal RNA", at positions 524 to 776 of the family's 1533-position model. The record is from RNAcentral.